RNAcentral lists this ribosomal RNA (281 nucleotides) under Staphylococcus hyicus. RNAcentral describes it as "partial 16S ribosomal RNA". It matches the Rfam family "Bacterial small subunit ribosomal RNA", at positions 1 to 271 of the family's 1533-position model. Lineage: Bacteria; Bacillati; Bacillota; Bacilli; Caryophanales; Staphylococcaceae. The record is from RNAcentral.
UUUAUGGAGAGUUUGAUCCUGGCUCAGGAUGAACGCUGGCGGCGUGCCUAAUACAUGCAAGUCGAGCGAACUGACGAGGAGCUUGCUCCUUUGACGUUAGCGGCGGACGGGUGAGUAACACGUGGGUAACCUACCUAUAAGACUGGAAUAACUCCGGGAAACCGGGGCUAAUGCCGGAUAACAUGUUGAACCGCAUGGUUCAACAGUGAAAGACGGUCUUGCUGUCACUUAUAGAUGGACCCGCGCCGUAUUAGCUAGUUGGUAAGGGAACGGCUUACCAA